This 418-nucleotide ribosomal RNA is filed under the name uncultured Chloroflexota bacterium. RNAcentral's name for it is "bacterial SSU rRNA". It matches the Rfam family "Bacterial small subunit ribosomal RNA", at positions 954 to 1382 of the family's 1533-position model. The record is from RNAcentral. Lineage: Bacteria; Bacillati; Chloroflexota.
AUGCAACGCGAAGAACCUUACCAGGGUUUGACAUGCUUAAAGUAGGAACUCGAAAGAAGGGACUACCUGUAUCCAGUCAGGAGUUUGCACAGGUGCUGCAUGGCUGUCGUCAGCUCGUGCCGUGAGGUGUUAGGUUAAGUCCUGCAACGAGCGCAACCCUCGUCGCUAGUUGUUUUCUCUAGCGAUACUGCCCGUAUAACGUGGAGGAAGGUGGGGAUGACGUCAAGUCAGCAUGGCCCUUACAUCCUGGGCUACACACACGCUACAAUGGGUGAUACAACAGGUUGCAAUAGAGUAAUCUGGAGCCAAUCCCUAAAAUCAUCCUCAGUACGGAUUGCAGGCUGCAACUGCCUGCAUGAAGUUGGAGUUGCUAGUAAACGCAGGUCAGCACACUGCGUUGAAUACGUUCUCGGGCCUU